UCGCAUCUACCGAUUGGAUGGUCCGGUGAAGCCUUGGGAUUGUGGUCAGGUUUCUUCAUUGGGAUCUGACCGUGAGAACUUGUCUAAAACCUUAUCAUCUAGAGGAAGGUU
This 111-nucleotide ribosomal RNA is filed under the name uncultured eukaryote. RNAcentral describes it as "partial small subunit ribosomal RNA". The record is from RNAcentral.